This 2445-nucleotide long non-coding RNA is filed under the name Nicotiana benthamiana. RNAcentral's name for it is "long non-coding RNA (NBEN_LNC038733)". The record is from RNAcentral. Lineage: Eukaryota; Viridiplantae; Streptophyta; Magnoliopsida; Solanales; Solanaceae.
CUAUGGUGCCUUCUCAGAGAUUUAAUAAAAUUGUCCUAAAAAUUAACCAAACCCUAGACCCGCUUCAUCUUCCUCGUACUCUCUAUUCCUCUGCCGGCUGAAAAUCAUCUCCGCCGCCGGCGGACUCCCAACUACCUGAAAAUUACAUUCCUGAUUCCCCUCGCCCUACCCAAAUCCACUAUCUGUUUCCUUCAAACAUCAUCCAAACCCGUCGAAUCUUCAACUGAAGUUUUCCGGCCAAGACGCAAACUCACCCCCAAUCCGGCCCAAAUUCAUACCAGAUAUUCCCCAAACCUCCGUCAUCACUAAUCCCUAUCCAAAACCCCUCGAAUCCAAAUAAAAAUGGACGAAUUUCAAAUUUAAGGUUUGAUGUUAAGGUCUCUUGAAUUUCAGCCGAUGUUUGAAUGAUUUAAAACCAUAUUAUGUGUUUGUUCUUAGUAAGAACAAACACAUAAUAUCGUUUGAAGAUCAUUUUCAAGCUCGGCCACGUCAGUUGCUCAAAUCAGUGAGUUUGUUUAUUUUGUUUUCUUCUUCUUCAUUUUUUGUAGUUUUAUAUUGUGACUUUAUUUUUAGUCAGUGAGAUUUCUAUGUGCUUUGAAUUAAAUAUUAUAUUACUGAGAUGAAUUUAUGUAUAAGUUACUGUUUGGAUUAAUCAUUUAGCAUAAUUGGGUCGCUUCACAUUUGAAUUAAUUUCUUGCAUACUUAGGUUAGUUGAUAUAUAAUUUAGUCUAGGUAUUCCUUUAUGUUUAGUUUUGCAUCUAGAUUUGUUGUUCUGAUUGGAUUUUGUUGAUGUCACUGUGUUCUAAUUAGUUGUUUGAAUCGACGAUUAGUUGGUUUCUAGCUCUGUAGUCAUUCAGUUAAUUAGGUUUAGGAUUGAUUAUAGCUGAGUUGUUUUGAUAUAAUGAGUUAGUAUUUUCAGGGAAUUUCAGGGGUAGUUUGGGCAUUGAAAAUGAUUCAGUUUGUUAAGACAUGGUAAUUUUUAAAUGCAACUAAUGGUAGUAUAGGUAUAGGAUAGAUGAUGGUAGAACCUUUCAGGGCAUUCUAAAUGGGGCUUUAGUGUAAGUUUUAAUUAUUUUGGUAGUAGUAACUUGAGUAGAAAGUCAGGAAAUGAGGAACAUGUAAGCAAAAAUUAAAAUUAAAAAAGGGCUAAGGUUGAAAACUAAAAAUCUAAGGGUUGCCCUCAUUUGUCCCUAUAAAAGGGCAUUCCCUUUACUUUAUUCAUAAGUUUUGGAGCCUCAAAAAAUUUCCCCCCAUUCUUUACAAGUUUCAGAUCUGUAACUUGAGAUCCAAACUCUAAAAUUUUCAAAAAUAAAAAAUAAAAACAAAAAACAGUAGAGAUUUCCAGAAAACCAAAAACAACAAAAGCUAUUCAAAAAACCAAAAAAAAAGUAUUGUUUCAUUGGAAUUUUGCAAUUCAAAUUCAAGGCUGGCUGCCAGUUUUCCAUUUUAGUUUAGUAAUUAGUCAUUGAAGUUUUGAAACUGCUUGAUUUGGUCUUUGGAGUCAGGUUGAGGUCUAUUUGAGUUGUUGUAUAGUUGUUUCUGUUGCUGAAGGUUUUCUGGAUUUCCUGGGUUAAAUUGUGAGCUCAUUUGGUGGGAUUCAAGUGGUUUAUGAGUGGUUUUUCCUGAGUCUGUCCUCUUCUAAACUUUUCUGGACUAUCAUACGCAUUUCUGGGCUAAAACUGGGCUGAUUGGUGUUGUUUGAAUUCCAGUUAUUGGUUACUGCAGCCUGUUGUCUGUUCUUCUGUCGCUAACGUCCAUUUCUGUUCAUUAUAUCUCUAGGUAUCUCUCCCAAUCUCAUAGGAAUUGUGAAGGAACCUUUGUAAAUGUGAUAUGGAAAAAUUGGAACUGACGAAUGAAGUUGAACUGAAACUGACGAAUGAAGUUGAAUUUGCUUAUGGAGUUGUCCUGUUCUGUUUCCACUUCAUAUAUGGAGUACAUUUUGUUUAAUGGAUAUCUUGUAUAAACUUGGACUCACGAUUGGUCAAUUUGUUAAUUGGACUAUUGCUUAGCAUAAAUAUUAAUUAAUUUGCUUAGUUUGUUCAGAUAAAAGUGCAAUCUUGUAUUGAUACAGUUGCAAAUUCACAUACCUGCUUUGUUUUCAACAUUAAUGAUAUUUGAAGUUCAUCAUUAGUUGAUGAGUUACAAUUAUAUUUGCAUGAAAUGAUCUCAAAUGGUCAAAAUCUAAUGGUUUUGGAUAAGUGCAUUGAUUCACGUUGUUACAAGUGUAGAACCCAUUCCCAAGAGAAUUUGGGAUAAUUUAGUGGGGCAAGCAUUCGAACAAAUUGGCUAACACAGGGAAUUGAACUCGGGCCCCGUGAUUUGGCAUGUGUAUGGCUUUAAGUGAGCAUUUCUGUUUGAGGCACAAACCAUCUAUUAGAAUAUAAUUGUGUGUAUAUUUUUAUUAUUGAUAAAAUAUUCUCUCAUUAUUGUACAGUCCAAUAGUUG